RNAcentral lists this transfer RNA (66 nucleotides) under Helicana wuana. RNAcentral describes it as "tRNA-Asn". The record is from RNAcentral. Lineage: Eukaryota; Metazoa; Arthropoda; Malacostraca; Decapoda; Varunidae.
UUGGUAGAAACCAAAAAGAGGUAUAUCACUGUUAAUGAUAAAAUUGAGUUUUAAACUCCUUCCAAG